This 1372-nucleotide ribosomal RNA is filed under the name uncultured bacterium. Its description in RNAcentral is "bacterial SSU rRNA". It matches the Rfam family "Bacterial small subunit ribosomal RNA", at positions 28 to 1381 of the family's 1533-position model. The record is from RNAcentral.
GAUGAACGCUGGCGGCGUGCCUAAUACAUGCAAGUCGAGCGUACGGACGAGAAGCUUGCUUCUCUGAUGUUAGCGGCGGACGGGUGAGUAACACGUGGAUAACCUACCUAUAAGACUGGGAUAACUUCGGGAAACCGGAGCUAAUACCGGAUAAUAUUUUGAACCGCAUGGUUCAAAAGUGAAAGACGGUCUUGCUGUCACUUAUAGAUGGAUCCGCGCUGCAUUAGCUAGUUGGUAAGGUAACGGCUUACCAAGGCAACGAUGCAUAGCCGACCUGAGAGGGUGAUCGGCCACACUGGAACUGAGACACGGUCCAGACUCCUACGGGAGGCAGCAGUAGGGAAUCUUCCGCAAUGGGCGAAAGCCUGACGGAGCAACGCCGCGUGAGUGAUGAAGGUCUUCGGAUCGUAAAACUCUGUUAUUAGGGAAGAACAUAUGUGUAAGUAACUGUGCACAUCUUGACGGUACCUAAUCAGAAAGCCACGGCUAACUACGUGCCAGCAGCCGCGGUAAUACGUAGGUGGCAAGCGUUAUCCGGAAUUAUUGGGCGUAAAGCGCGCGUAGGCGGUUUUUUAAGUCUGAUGUGAAAGCCCACGGCUCAACCGUGGAGGGUCAUUGGAAACUGGAAAACUUGAGUGCAGAAGAGGAAAGUGGAAUUCCAUGUGUAGCGGUGAAAUGCGCAGAGAUAUGGAGGAACACCAGUGGCGAAGGCGACUUUCUGGUCUGUAACUGACGCUGAUGUGCGAAAGCGUGGGGAUCAAACAGGAUUAGAUACCCUGGUAGUCCACGCCGUAAACGAUGAGUGCUAAGUGUUAGGGGGUUUCCGCCCCUUAGUGCUGCAGCUAACGCAUUAAGCACUCCGCCUGGGGAGUACGACCGCAAGGUUGAAACUCAAAGGAAUUGACGGGGACCCGCACAAGCGGUGGAGCAUGUGGUUUAAUUCGAAGCAACGCGAAGAACCUUACCAAAUCUUGACAUCCUUUGACAACUCUAGAGAUAGAGCCUUCCCCUUCGGGGGACAAAGUGACAGGUGGUGCAUGGUUGUCGUCAGCUCGUGUCGUGAGAUGUUGGGUUAAGUCCCGCAACGAGCGCAACCCUUAAGCUUAGUUGCCAUCAUUAAGUUGGGCACUCUAAGUUGACUGCCGGUGACAAACCGGAGGAAGGUGGGGAUGACGUCAAAUCAUCAUGCCCCUUAUGAUUUGGGCUACACACGUGCUACAAUGGACAAUACAAAGGGCAGCGAAACCGCGAGGUCAAGCAAAUCCCAUAAAGUUGUUCUCAGUUCGGAUUGUAGUCUGCAACUCGACUACAUGAAGCUGGAAUCGCUAGUAAUCGUAGAUCAGCAUGCUACGGUGAAUACGUUCCCGGGUCU